UGAGGAAUAUUGGUCAAUGGGCGUAAGCCUGAACCAGCCAAGUCGCGUGAAGGAUGACUGCCCUAUGGGUUGUAAACUUCUUUUGUAAGGGGAGAAUAAAUUCUACGUGUAGGAUGAUGACAGUACCUUACGAAUAAGCAUCGGCUAACUACGUGCCAGCAGCCGCGAUAAUACGUAGGGAGCGAGCGUUAUCCGGAAUUAUUGGGUGUAAAGGGUGCGUAGACGGGAAUGUAAGUUAGUUGUGAAAUCCCUCGGCUUAACUGAGGAACUGCAACUAAAACUACAUUUCUUGAGUGCAGGAGAGGAAAGUGGAAUUCCUAGUGUAGCGGUGAAAUGCGUAGAUAUUAGGAGGAACACCAGUGGCGAAGGCGGCUUUCUGGACUGUAACUGACGUUGAGGCACGAAAGUGUGGGGAGCAAACA
RNAcentral lists this ribosomal RNA (422 nucleotides) under uncultured bacterium. Its description in RNAcentral is "bacterial SSU rRNA". It matches the Rfam family "Bacterial small subunit ribosomal RNA", at positions 355 to 774 of the family's 1533-position model. The record is from RNAcentral.